GAUGAAGAACGCAGCGAAAUGCGAUACGUAGUGUGAAUUGCAGAAUUCAGUGAAUCAUCGAAUCUUUGAACGCACAUUGCGCCCGCCAGUAUUCUGGCGGGCAUGCCUGUUCGAGCGUCAUUUCAACCCUCAAGACCCCUUCGGGGGACUUGGUGUUGGGGACCGGCACAGGGGCCUGCCUGCUUGUCUUGCAGCGCCCUCGCCGCCCCCGAAAUGAAUUGGCGGCCUCGUCGCGGCCUCCCCUGCGUAGUAGCACAAACCUCGCAACGGGAACGUGACGGCGGCCACUGCCGUAAAACAACCCAAUUUUAUUAGAGUUGACCUCGAAUCAGGUAGGAAUACCCGCUGAACUUAAGCAUAUCAAUAAGCGGAGGA
RNAcentral lists this unclassified non-coding RNA (375 nucleotides) under soil metagenome. RNAcentral describes it as "partial contains 5.8S ribosomal RNA, internal transcribed spacer 2, and large subunit ribosomal RNA". The stretch from base 1 to 120 matches the Rfam family "5.8S ribosomal RNA", at positions 35 to 154 of the family's 154-position model. The record is from RNAcentral.